CAUGGAGAUAAGUCUUGGAUUGAUCCACGUACUUGAUUGCGUUCUUUUUUUAUUUCUCUUCUUUCUUCCUAUUACCAUAUUGACAUCAUCACCUGGCUUAGUGAUCUUGGAUGGAGGAUUAAUAUUCCGCACUAGUAAGGGAUUCUUCCCAACAUGUUUAAUCCAUAAUCUUGUUAUGGUUUUCUUCUUGGCAUGUCAUGAAAUUUGGUUAUGCCUUCUUAUGAUAAAGAUCUAUCAAAUCCUACCUGUCAAGGAAUUCAUUGAAACAUUCAAACCUAG
This 279-nucleotide long non-coding RNA is filed under the name Elaeis guineensis (African oil palm). RNAcentral's name for it is "long non-coding RNA (EGUI_LNC007109)". Lineage: Eukaryota; Viridiplantae; Streptophyta; Magnoliopsida; Arecales; Arecaceae. The record is from RNAcentral.